Molecule: long non-coding RNA, 276 nt
Organism: Heterocephalus glaber (naked mole-rat)
Lineage: Eukaryota; Metazoa; Chordata; Mammalia; Rodentia; Bathyergidae
Source: Ensembl
AACUGCUUUUUCAUCACAAAUGAACCCAGGAUGUCUUUAUCUGAGGACCUAAAAGUACACUGGUUAAAUUACACUUUUCUUGGGUCUGGACCAGAGAAGAGGAAUCAGCCUAGGCAGUGCUGAAGAGCCUCAGAGAGGAUUCACGCAGGGAAGAGGGAGGCAGCACCGGAGCUUGUCCAAGUUCCAAAGUCCCGGUUGUCAAAGUGGAGUUUGCCAGCAUUCACCCUUUCAGGGUGGCCUGAGGCACCGUCCUCUGUCCUUUCAUCUCUCCUUCCG